UACGGAGGGGGUUAGCGUUGUUCGGAAUUACUGGGCGUAAAGCGCGCGUAGGCGGAUCAGAACGUUGGGGGUGAAAUCCCGGGGCUCAACCCCGGAAUUGCCUUCAAAACUCCUGGUCUUGAGUUCGAGAGAGGUGAGUGGAAUUCCGAGUGUAGAGGUGAAAUUCGUAGAUAUUCGGAGGAACACCAGUGGCGAAGGCGGCUCACUGUCUCGAAACUGACGAUGAGGUGCGAAAGCGUGGGGAGCAAACAGG
Molecule: ribosomal RNA, 253 nt
Filed under: uncultured bacterium
Lineage: Bacteria
Description: partial 16S ribosomal RNA
Rfam family: Bacterial small subunit ribosomal RNA
Source: RNAcentral